Molecule: ribosomal RNA, 545 nt
Filed under: uncultured bacterium
Lineage: Bacteria
Description: bacterial SSU rRNA
Rfam family: Bacterial small subunit ribosomal RNA
Source: RNAcentral
AAUAGAUACCCUGGUAGUCCACGCCGUAAACGAUGGAUGCUAGCUGUAGGGGGUAUCGACCCCUUCUGUAGCGAAGCUAACGCGUUAAGCAUCCCGCCUGUGGAGUACGGCCGCAAGGCUAAAACAUAAAGGAAUUGACGGGGACCCGCACAAGCGGUGGAUCGUGUUCUUUAAUUCGAUGAUAAACGGAGAACCUUACCAGGGCUUGACAUCCUUGGAAUUUCUGCGAAAGCAGUUAGUGCCUUUUGGAACCAAGUGACAGGUGAUGCAUGGCCGUCGUCAGCUCGUGUCGUGAGAUGUUUGGUUAAGUCCAUCAACGAGCGCAACCCUUAUGUUUAGUUGUAUUUUUCUAAACAGACUGCCCCGGUAACGGGGAGGAAGGAGGGGAUGAUGGUCAGGUCAGUAUUUCCCUUACGUCCUGGGCUAGAAACACGAUACAAUGGCUAGUACAAUGCGCAGCGAAGCCGCGAGGUGGAGCAAAUCGCACCAAAGCUAGUCCCAGUUCGGAUUGGAGGCUGAAACUCGCCUCCAUGAAGUCGGAAUCG